This 70-nucleotide transfer RNA is filed under the name Cinclosoma punctatum. Its description in RNAcentral is "tRNA-Val". The record is from RNAcentral. Lineage: Eukaryota; Metazoa; Chordata; Aves; Passeriformes; Cinclosomatidae.
CGAGAUGUAGCUUUAACAAAAGCAUUCAGCUUACACCUGAAAGAUAUCUGUUAGUGCCAGAUCAUCUUGA